This 3216-nucleotide long non-coding RNA is filed under the name Sus scrofa (pig). RNAcentral's name for it is "lncRNA (ENSSSCG00000054449.1)". Lineage: Eukaryota; Metazoa; Chordata; Mammalia; Artiodactyla; Suidae. The record is from RNAcentral.
AGCGCCAGACUUCACUCAGCAGGAGAAACUCGCAAGUCGAAGGAGGGAUGAUCCGGGGCGUGGGAGCGUCAGGUCUUUUUAGUCCUCUCCAGCCCCGGGUUUGCGGAAUCCCCUCCUAGUGCGCCUCUGGCUUAGUUUAGCGUCGGCAGCGGCCUCCGGCAGUCUGUACAGUUCCUUUAUGGGAGAAUCCAUGUAAGGAGUUGUCCGUGGGUAGGUAUUCUGAUAGGCAGCAGACCCGAAUUUCCCUCCUGAAAACCUCGGCUACUCUCUCCUCUCUGAGACCAUUCCUUUCUGGAGAAAAACCUAAGGGUCUGCAAAGAGAGAAAAAGCUACUUAGUCACCUAGCGUCUCCCCGACUGCCUUAGCGGCCUGAGGAACCUCUUACAUCUUGGCCGUUUUGUCGCCUUGAGCCCUCUCUUCAUACUUUGAAACCUCAAUCAGACUCUUGGAAUUGAGAGAGAACUCUUGCAGGGAUUGGAGGUGCUGAGGAUACAACAGUGAACUAAAUGGACAAAAAUUUCCAGCACGGGACUUUUAUCCUGGUGUGUGUGUGUGUGUGUGUGUGUGUGUGUAACAGAGACAUACAUUAGUACAUUAGUGACCUAAAAGGAGCAGUUUAAGUAGAAUGGUAGAAUGGUUUGGGUGAAAGCCUAAAUGGAGUGGAUUUAAGAGAAAAUGAAAGAGUAAUUGAGUUCCCCUCGUGGCUCAAGAGGUAACUAUCCUGACUAGUAUCCACGAGAAGGCUGGUUCGAUCCCUAGCCUCACUUGGUGGGUUAAGGAUCUGUGUUGCAGUGAGCUAUGGUGUAGGUCACAGAGGUGGCUUGGAUCCUGCCAGGAACUGAAGGCAGCCAGAGUAUGUAUACAACUCUUACUAGGGGAGCAGAGCAAAAAGGAGUGGUAAUACAAGAGGGAAGAGGGUGGGAUUUUCUUUUCUUUCUUUUUUUUUUUCUCAUUUUUUGCUUUUUAUGUCCGCACUGGGGCAGCAUACGUAGUUUCCCAGGCUAGAGGUCUAAUCGGAGCUACAGCUGCUGGCCUACACCACAGCCACAGCAACACCAGAUCCGAGCCUCAUCUGUGAUCUACACCACAGCUCAUGGCAAUGUGAGUUACUUAACCCACUGAGGGAGGCCAGCGAUCGAACCUGCAACCUCAUGGUUUCUAGUCGGAUCUGUUUCCACUGUGCCACAACAGGAACCUCUCUCUCUUUUUUUCUAAUGGGAAGUUUUUGUUUGCUCAUGGCAGUGACCAAGUGGAGAGGAAAAAAUUGAUGAUAUAGGACAGAGAGGGGAGAAUUGUUGGAGAAUGGCAGGAACCAACUGGCUGGGCUGUUGUUGAAAGAGUGGAGGCUGAAUGUCUAGAAAGGGUCUGAGUGACACAGGAUUGACAGAGCCUGGGCUGCCAAAUGCACUGAUGGUUUGCAAAUGAUGUCAGGCGCCAGCUUUCAGGCUGCCUGCUCUGUUAGUAGAAGAAACAACUGUUUUGGAACAAGAUAUUCCGGAUGUUCUUCUGGCAUAUGGGUGUCCACAAAACAAGAUUUUACUAAAUACAGGACAGCCAAUGAUGAGAAAAAUAUGAAUCUUCUUUCAUGGACAGUUAGGUGAAAUGUAUUUCUUUCUUUUUUAGGGCAACACCCAGGCAUAUGGAAGUUCCCAGGCUAGGAGUCAAAUCGGAGCUGCAUCUUCAACCUAUGCCGCAGCUCACAUGCAACACUGGAUCCUUAACCCGCUGAGCAAGACCAGGGAUCGAACCCUGCAUGCUCAUGGAUAGUAGUCAGAUUCUUAACCCAAUGAGCCACAACAGGAACUACCAUUAAAUGCCAUUUCAUCUGCAGUUAAAGUGAAAGGGAAUUUCACAUUAAACAGUAGUUGAAGAGAUUAAUUACAUAAAUGCAAAAUCACCCAAAAAAGACACCAAGUACAACACUGCUGGCAACAGAUAACACUAGAAGAAUCUCAGGGAUGACACAAAAACUUAAGGGAAAUGAGUCAGAGUGCUUUGUUAAUUCACUUCUUUCCCAGGGAUUUUCCCUCAGAGGAGAUUGUGGGGGAAUUUUGUAUUUUAUGAGAUUAGGAGAGGCUAAUGAAAUGAAACAGAGUGACUGGGUCCAUAGCUCAGCUUGCCAGGUGUAGGCCAGCAGCUGCAGCUACAAUUUGACCCCUAGCCUAGGAACUUCCCUAUACCGCAGCUGUGGCCUUUUUAAAAAAGGAAAAAAAUAAUGUAAAAUGAAAUAAAUUCUCCAAGUGUCAGUUUCCUCAUCUGUAAAAUGAAGAUGAUAAUAAACAUAUCUAUAUAAUAUAUGUUCAUUUGGAUCUAGGGUUUAGGAUAGUGUAAGCUUUUAGUAAAUGUUCCCAUCAUUUUUUUUUUUUUAAAUGGUCACUCCCAUGGCCUUUGGAAGUUCCCUGGUCAGGGAUUGAAUCCCAGCUGACCUAUGCUGCGGCUGGGGCAACACCAGAUCCUUUAACACACUGCCUGGUGGGGAUCGAACCCACACUUCUGUAGCGACCUGAGCCUCUGCAGUUGGAUUCUUAAUCCACUGUGCCACAGCGGGAACUCCUUUUAUUUUUAAAAUUGAUAUAUUUUUUAAUUUAAUUGAUUUUUAUUUAUUAUGUAUUUUUAUUUUAUUUUAUCUUAUUUUAUUUUAGGGAUGCACCUGUGGCAUAUGGAAGUUCCCAGACUAGGGGUCGAAUCAGAGCUGUAGCUGCUAGCCUACACCACAGCCAUAGAAACACAGGAUCUGAGCUGCGGCUGUGACCUACACCACAGCUCACGGCAAUUCCAGGUCCUUAACCCACUGAGUGAGGCCAGGGAUUGAACCUGCAUCCUCACGGACACUAGUCGGGUUGGUUAACUGCUUAGCCAUGACAGGAACUCCCAUCAUUUAAUUUUAUGAUGCUUUCUAUCUUCCAUCUAAAAAGCAAAAACUAAAACUUUCCUGACCCCAAGUCCUCUUCCAAUAGAUGUCACCUAUCUUUCUCACUAAAAUGUGCAGUGAAGAUGGUGGAGAGAAGCAGAUGGAUUCCAGAGAUUUAAGGAGAUAGAAUUUGAAGGAGAUGCCACUUAAAAUCCUCCAAUGGCUUCCUAUGACAAUUAGAUCAAUCUUGGAGUUCCCCUGGUGGCUCAGUGGGUUAAGGAUCUGGCAUUGUUACUGCUGUGGCUCUGGUUACUGCUGGGGCUUGGGUUUGAUCCCUGACCCAGAAAUUUCCACAUGUCUGGGUG